This 500-nucleotide ribosomal RNA is filed under the name uncultured bacterium. RNAcentral's name for it is "partial 16S ribosomal RNA". It matches the Rfam family "Bacterial small subunit ribosomal RNA", at positions 30 to 523 of the family's 1533-position model. The record is from RNAcentral.
AUUGAACGCUGGCGGCAUGCCUUACACAUGCAAGUCGAACGGCAGCACGGGAGCAAUCCUGGUGGCGAGUGGCGAACGGGUGAGUAAUAUAUCGGAACGUGCCCAGUCGUGGGGGAUAACGUAGCGAAAGCUACGCUAAUACCGCAUACGAUCUAUGGAUGAAAGCGGGGGAUCGCAAGACCUCGCGCGAUUGGAGCGGCCGAUAUCAGAUUAGGUAGUUGGUGAGGUAAAGGCUCACCAAGCCGACGAUCUGUAGCUGGUCUGAGAGGACGACCAGCCACACUGGGACUGAGACACGGCCCAGACUCCUACGGGAGGCAGCAGUGGGGAAUUUUGGACAAUGGGCGCAAGCCUGAUCCAGCAAUGCCGCGUGCAGGAUGAAGGCCUUCGGGUUGUAAACUGCUUUUGUACGGAACGAAACGGUGAGCUCUAAUACAGUUUGCUAAUGACGGUACCGUAAGAAUAAGCACCGGCUAACUACGUGCCAGCCGCCGCAGUAA